GCUUUGAAGGGCUAACCACACUUAAAUGAUCUAAAUGUAAAGAAAUUGUUCUGUGUAUGUUCCACUAAAUUAUUCCACUGAAUGCCGCUGUGGGUUGUGCCUCUGUGUCUGGGUGUGUGUUUGGGAUCGGGGGCUCUCUGUGAAGACGGGGUCCUGGCCGGUUGAGAGGGAGGAUAUUUGAAAUGCUCCCUCCUCAUGUUGGGAUGAACGUUUAAUACUAUUGAAGGAGUUUUGACCAUUAUGAAGAUGGAGAAAGAGGACCUUUUUAUGGACUCAAGUCGUGAAAUGCAUUGUGAUUCACAAGUACCCUGCAAGUGAUGAAUAAAUAACUUAAAACGA
This is a long non-coding RNA of Gadus macrocephalus (Pacific cod), 339 nucleotides long. RefSeq lists it as uncharacterized. The record is from RefSeq and is a predicted model, not a curated record. Lineage: Eukaryota; Metazoa; Chordata; Actinopteri; Gadiformes; Gadidae. The transcript has 2 exons.